This is a long non-coding RNA of Gavialis gangeticus (Gharial), 1537 nucleotides long. RefSeq lists it as uncharacterized. Lineage: Eukaryota; Metazoa; Chordata; Crocodylia; Gavialidae. The record is from RefSeq and is a predicted model, not a curated record. The transcript has 2 exons.
UUAUAUAUAUAUCUCCCUUACUCCAAAAUGGUUUUUCUCCUAUUUAACCACCUGGGUGUUCUGUUCAUGCAUAUAAAUCUCUGAUUUUUUUUUAAAAAUCACACUAUCCUUUGCACCUGAGAAAUCUUGUGGACAUGAGUUCCAAACACAGUUAUGAUUUAUCAGUAAUGCAACUGAUUUGGAACUUAUUAGUUAAUUAGUCAAUUAGUCAGUUAGUAUUUCUGAGUUUUAAACAUCAAUGAAUAUCCCCAGAAAGGGUAAACCCACGUUAUCUGUUUUACCUCAUUUAUUAUUUUCCAUAUUUAUGUCUCCCUCUAGCCAAUACCAUUCUUUCUGCAUUAUUAUUAUUCCUAUUUAAGAAGCAAGGGAUUUUUUGGCAAUAUCUUUUAUUGGACCAACUAUAUAGUCAAGAGAUAUCGGAGACAAGCUAUUUUGGCACACAGUACCAUUCUUUAGAAAAAAAUGACCAGAACCCUACACAGAAUUCCAGGCAAGGGCACAGCAUAAAUUCAAAAAAUGUCAUUUCAGUAUUUUUAAGAUUUAAAAAAAUCUCAUUAAUUAAUAUUCUAUUGACUUUUGUACCAUGUGUAUAUUUUGAACAGAGCUGUUAAUUUAACUGUUCACAAUGUUGCCUCAGUUUUCCCCUAAUUUUAAUCAAUUUCAAAUACAGCUGCAAAAACAAUUAAUUCACAUUCUUCCUGCUGAUGUGUAUUAGGUUUCAGUUGUCAGUACUACAUUUCUUCUGUCAUUGUGCUGCUCAUUUAUACUUGUUAGGUCCCUCCAUUUUCUCACAAUUGUCUAGCUUUUAUUAUUCUAAAUCUUUUUUUUAAUCAUUUCCAAAUAUUGUCUCCUCACACUUUAUUCAUGUUCCUCAAGAAUUAUAUUACGUUAUAAUAAUUAUAUUAAACACCACUUACCUAGUAUAGGACCCUAAGGUUAAUCUUUUGCCAUAUUGAAAGUUCAUUAUUUAUUCCCAUAUAUGGCAUGGCAGGAGACACAACUGUUGGGACUAGGGAUCAGAUCCUGUCAUGCCAUUUAAUGAAUGUGAGCCAGGGGCUUUAGGUACUGCUAAAAGUGUUCUAUAUAAGAAGUAGUGCCUGUAUAUUUGGAUGUGAAUCUCCUUAGAGUUUACAUCAAAAUGCCUUACCUCAUCUGAUAUCCAAGUCAUUAUGUAGGUCUACCUAGAUGAGUAAACUAGCAGAGGUACCUGCAUUGUUCUGAUUUAAGGAAAGGCUGCCUCAACAUUAAAUUAUGAUUGCCAUUCACUUUCCCAUUUCUGACAUCUAUACCAUAAGACAAGUAGUCCCUGUAUAUCUUCCAAGAAAGUAGUUGUAUUUUAAUUCUAUUGAUUAAAAAAUGGAUUUUCAUAUCCUAUCUAAACUUUGUUUAUUUUGCACCUGGCUGCACACUGUAUUUGUCAUAGCUUGUUUCUCUUCUCAUGGAAAAGAAUUCAAUCCAAGAUGCAAUUCCAUAUUAAUCAGCCAACUGUAUUGCCAAUUGCAUUGCAAACACCAAUUAACUAUUCUGACUGCAAAUA